This 72-nucleotide transfer RNA is filed under the name Phaeoacremonium minimum UCRPA7. RNAcentral describes it as "tRNA-Arg (CCT) (tRNA-Arg-CCT-2-1)". It matches the Rfam family "tRNA". From Rfam's summary of the family: Transfer RNA (tRNA) molecules are approximately 80 nucleotides in length. Their secondary structure includes four short double-helical elements and three loops (D, anti-codon, and T loops). The record is from RNAcentral. Lineage: Eukaryota; Fungi; Ascomycota; Sordariomycetes; Togniniales; Togniniaceae.
GCCCUUCUGGCGCAAUAGAAGCGUGUGGCUUUCCUGAGGCCAAGGUUCUGGGUGCAAGUCCCAGGUUGGGUU